Molecule: long non-coding RNA, 1185 nt
Organism: Megalopta genalis
Lineage: Eukaryota; Metazoa; Arthropoda; Insecta; Hymenoptera; Halictidae
Source: RefSeq, a predicted model, not a curated record
AUAUAAUACUAUACACCCGUUAUGAUAAGAUAAUAUACACAUAUAUAAACCAUUGUAUUUCGCCCAGGGAACAGUGUUGAUUCUAACCUCAGAACCCGCCGGAUCUUUCACCAGUGUCAUUGUAAUUUGUGUAUCGCAAUUUGUGUAAAACGAAAUAAAAGGAGUAGUAAGUUGAGCUACGGCUCAACUACCUUUCUUUUUUAUUAUCUCUAAUCACAGUUUUACGUGACAAAAUCGUCGAGGAGAGUCGCGCGAGCCGCGGAACGUUUUCUUCUGUUCCGUAAAUUGCCUGUUUGGAGAGACACUCGCGUGGGCGCGCUGCGAUCGAUUCCAAACCCGGUGGAAACUUGCGAGUGACGGUUUUUAAUAAACAGAAGAAGGUUCUCGCGCGAUUCUGGAGGAGGUGUUGCCCGGAUUUUCGUCCGACGAUUUAAUGAAAAACCGCGCAUCGUUCGUGGACAAAAACCGUUCAUUUCGUGGCUUUCUGUUCGACCUAAGGAGCCUUCGUGUUUUCCAUCUUCGUGUCGCUCGACUUCUCGGUGAAGAAGUACUUUUUUUGUGACAAAUAUCUUAACCUUUCGGCGCAAUAUUUUCAUUGGAAAUUGUGCUCGUUAAAUGGCCAGGCUCGGAGCAGUUAGCCAGCGAUUUCGGUGGAAAAGUGGAGCAGCUUAAAAACUGAAAAGGGAUGAAGACGCGGAGAUGAAGCCUCGAGCCGUAAGCAAGGAGGCAGUAAUAACAGUGGGUAACGGGAGCCGUGCUUCUUGUCCCGUGAAAGACGCUCCUCCUCCUCGACGUGGAGCAUAACGAGACGCUUUUUCCCGUCGACGCGCUGCGCGACGGCACGAGGAGGGGAGGGGAGCGGAGGGGAGGGCCCCUACGUCGACGCUUCUUCGACGAUCUUGGGCUGCUAUUACCGUCGUGGGAGGAUCUCGAUGCGAAGACAAAGGACUCUCGGUGACACUGGUUGCCAAGCGAAGGAUCCUCGGCGUUAGUCAGACAUCGAGUCCUGUCCCUCGGUAUAAAAUGAUACGGAACGGACCGGAAACGGUGUCACGUUACAAGUGGCCUGCUCUCGUAUUCCCGGAUCGUCGGACCUCCUUCUCGAUAUUUUCUUAAUAAUUCGACUGCGGAUUUUAUGCAUCUUAUACACAAGGCAAAAAAAUGAGCAGCCGAGGCACAAAACAC